Molecule: ribosomal RNA, 269 nt
Filed under: uncultured archaeon
Lineage: Archaea
Description: partial 16S ribosomal RNA
Rfam family: Archaeal small subunit ribosomal RNA
Source: RNAcentral
AGCUCUCCGAGUGGUGGGGACGUUUAUUGGGCUUAAAGCAUUCGUAGCCGGCUGGGCAAGUCCUCCGUUAAAUCCAACGAUCCAAUCGUUGGGCUGCGGGGGAUACUGUCCGGCUAGGAGGCGGGAGAGGCCGACGGUAUUUCCGGGGUAGGAGUGAAAUCCUAUAAUCCCGGGAGGACCAUCAGUGGCGAAGGCUGUCGGCUGGAACGCGCUCGACGGUGAGGGAUGAAAGCUGGGGGAGCGAACCGGAUUAGAUACCCGAGUAGUCC